CAAGGUGGUGGAUAUGGUGGUGGUGGAGGAUAUGAUGGUUACAAUGAAGGAGGAAAUUUUGGCGGUGGUAACUAUGGUGGUGGUGGGAACUAUAAUGAUUUUGGAAAUUAUAGUGGACAACAGCAAUCAAAUUAAGGACUCAUGAAAGGGGGCAGUUUUGGUGGAAGAAGCUCAGGCAGUCCCUAUGAUGGUGGUUAUGGAUCUGGUGGUGGGAGUGGUAGAUAUGGUAGCAGAAGGUUCUAAAAACAGCAGAAAAGGGCUACAGUUCUUAGCAGGAGAGAAAGCAAGGAGUUGUCAGGAAAGCUGUAGGUUACUUUGAGACAGUCGUCCCAAAUGCAUUAGAGGAACUGUAAAAAUCUGCCACAGAAGGAGCAAUGAUCCAUAGUCAGAAAAGUUACUGCAGCUUAAACAGGAAA
Molecule: long non-coding RNA, 416 nt
Filed under: Pan troglodytes (chimpanzee)
Lineage: Eukaryota; Metazoa; Chordata; Mammalia; Primates; Hominidae
Description: long non-coding RNA NONPTRT001041
Source: RNAcentral